Molecule: ribosomal RNA, 253 nt
Filed under: uncultured bacterium
Lineage: Bacteria
Description: partial 16S ribosomal RNA
Rfam family: Bacterial small subunit ribosomal RNA
Source: RNAcentral
GACGAAGGGGGCUAGCGUUGUUCGGAAUUACUGGGCGUAAAGGGUGCGUAGGCGGUUUGUUAAGUCUGCUGUGAAAUCCCCGGGCUCAACUCGGGAAUGGCAGUGGAUACUGGCAAGCUAGAGUGCGGUAGAGGGUAGUGGAAUUCCCGGUGUAGCAGUGAAAUGCGUAGAGAUCGGGAGGAACACCAGUGGCGAAGGCGGCUACCUGGACCAGCACUGACACUGAAGCACGAAAGCGUGGGGAGCAAACAGG